Molecule: long non-coding RNA, 701 nt
Organism: Populus trichocarpa (black cottonwood)
Lineage: Eukaryota; Viridiplantae; Streptophyta; Magnoliopsida; Malpighiales; Salicaceae
Exons: 2
Source: RefSeq, a predicted model, not a curated record
GGAACCCUGAAUGAGGAGAUCAGCAAAUAUACGACAGCAUUUGAUAAAAUUCAAUUUCCCAUUCUAGUUCCCUUGGGGAGUAGAGGGAAUCAACAUGUGUAGAAAUGGUCACAGUUCAAAGAAAUAAAUUACCUUCUGGCUUCUAGUAUAAGACAGUACAUUACAAUCAUUCAAAGAGGAGAUCGUUUUGAGCAAAAUGAAGCGGGCAGAGCUGAUCGAUAAAAAAAGACAGCAACUCAACUAAGCUGCUAAGAACCCCAUAAACAGAAAAUAACAUACAACUGCACAAACACUUAGCACAUGAUGACUGACCAAACUUCAGGGGAAAACGGUACCUUUGAGCCUUAUCGAAAGGGGCUUCUUCGAAAACAACCCAAGAACAACCAAUGGCUCCAAGAAAUACCCAAUUGCUCGACUUACACCACAAUCGUGCACAAGGUGUCUCCCACCCAUCACAAUCCCAGGCUUGUAUUGAAACUUUGUUCCUGCCACAUAAAAUAUAUCCCUCAAAAAUCAAACCCAUGACAAGCUAACAACAAAAAAACAAAUGGGGUGGUUCGUUUUACCGGUUUCAUUGAUUUUGACAACACAGUCAUCAGAAAUCUUCUCGAGGAGGCGGAGGAGAGAGACCUCAUGGGGGCGUAGGCCGGGCAUCAUGUCAUUGGCUCGAAUGUCCUCGACUUGGACAGGAGUGGCGGAAA